UCCAAAUAUUCACUUGCAGAUUCCACUAAAAGAGUGUUUCAAAACUGCUCUAUCAUAAGGUAUGUUCAACUCUGUGAGUUGAAUGCAAACAUCAGAAAGAAGUUUCUGAGAAUACUUCUGUCUAGUUUUUAUGUGAACAUAUUUCCUUUUCCACCAUAGGCCUCAAAGUGCUCCAAAAGUUCACUUACGGAUUCUACAAAAACA
This 204-nucleotide long non-coding RNA is filed under the name Homo sapiens (human). Its description in RNAcentral is "HSALNT0305894". The record is from RNAcentral. Lineage: Eukaryota; Metazoa; Chordata; Mammalia; Primates; Hominidae.